RNAcentral lists this ribosomal RNA (392 nucleotides) under uncultured bacterium. RNAcentral's name for it is "partial 16S ribosomal RNA". It matches the Rfam family "Bacterial small subunit ribosomal RNA", at positions 523 to 918 of the family's 1533-position model. The record is from RNAcentral.
AUACGGAGGAUCCGAGCGUUAUCCGGAUUUAUUGGGUUUAAAGGGUGCGCAGGCGGCCAUUUAAGUCAGCGGUUAAAUCGUGGGGCUCAACCCCAUUCUGCCGUUGAUACUGGGUGGCUUGAUUGCGGUCGAGGUUGGCGGAAUUCGUUGUGUAGCGGUGAAAUGCAUAGAUAUGACGAAGAACACCAAUUGCGUAGGCAGCUGACCAGACCGCAAAUGACGCUCAUGCACGAAAGUGCGGGGAUCGAACAGGAUUAGAUACCCUGGUAGUCCGCACAGUAAACGAUGAAUACUUGUUUUCGGCGAUAUAAUGUCGGAGGCAAAGCGAAAGCGAUAAGUAUUCCACCUGGGGAGUACGCCGGCAACGGUGAAACUCAAAGGAAUUGACGGGG